CUCUCUAUAAUAAAUCGUUUCUUAUCUUGGCAUUUUAAUCAAUCUCUUGUCAUGAUUAUAGAGGUUUAGCUAAAAGUAUUUUUUCUUAGAAGACAGGUUCUAUAAACUGAAUCUCUGUUGCACACUGGUCAUGCUGGAAAAACAUUUGAUGAGGAAUGAAGAUGCUCUGUAUAUACAUGUUUAGGUUUUACAGGAAACACAGGAGUAGCAUGUUUUAAAAAUUUCUAAAGUCAAAACAUGGACACAUUCACAGGCUAAUGAUCUCAUGAAAUAAGGAUAAGAGACCACGGUAGCAUCUACCAAAAAUGUGAUACUCAAAGGAUUACAUUUCAUUGCUUCCCUGUUGAAGUGAAGAUAUAAAUGUUCCAUUCUGACCCACCUUUGAAAAACAAUUACUUUGCCCCAUGGAUUCUUUGUUCAAUUAGAAAUUUCCCCGGGGCAGGUGACCCAUAGUCUUAAAGAACAGGCUAAACACCACAGAGAGAUUGGUUGCUUUUUGCUUUUCAUCACCUGCAAGAUGUACAUAAAAAUCACAUAAGCUGGAAUUCAACAAAAGACCUCUGACUAUGUGAAGAUACGGUGGGAAGAUGACUGACCGCAAGACAGGAAGAGAGCCCUCACCGAGGAACCAAAUUGGCCAGUAUCUUGAUUUUGGAUUUCUCAACCUCAAGAACCAUGAGAAAUGAAUGUCUGCUGUUCAAGCCACCCAGUCAAUGAAAAAGUUUGGAAACCUUCAUCUAGAAAGUGGUCUAGCAAAGUGUGGUCCAUGGAUGAGUUUGAUCUGCAAACUGCUUGUUAUUGGUUCAUGACAAGGUGAGUACAGAAACUGUGAAUAAU
Molecule: long non-coding RNA, 837 nt
Filed under: Homo sapiens (human)
Lineage: Eukaryota; Metazoa; Chordata; Mammalia; Primates; Hominidae
Description: HSALNT0369716
Source: RNAcentral